Molecule: ribosomal RNA, 192 nt
Filed under: uncultured Streptococcaceae bacterium
Lineage: Bacteria; Bacillati; Bacillota; Bacilli; Lactobacillales; Streptococcaceae
Description: partial 16S ribosomal RNA
Rfam family: Bacterial small subunit ribosomal RNA
Source: RNAcentral
CUAUUGGAAACGAUAGCUAAUACCGCAUGAAAUUGCUUAUCGCAUGAUAAUUAAUUGAAAGAUGCAAUUGCAUCACUACCAGAUGGACCUGCGUUGUAUUAGCUAGUUGGUGAGGUAACGGCUCACCAAGGCGACGAUACAUAGCCGACCUGAGAGGGUGAUCGGCCACACUGGGACUGAGACACGGCCCAG